UACGUAGGUGGCAAGCGUUGUCCGGAUUUAUUGGGUUUAAAGGGUGCGUAGGCGGCUUUGUAAGUCAGUGGUGAAAUAUCGCAGCUCAACUGUGAGGGUGCCAUUGAUACUGCAAAGCUUGAGUACAGAUGAGGUAGGCGGAAUUGACGGUGUAGCGGUGAAAUGCUUAGAUAUCGGGAGGAAUACCGAUGGCGAAGGCAGGUCUCUGGGCUAUAACUGACGCUCAUGCACGAAAGCGUGGGGAGCAAACAGG
Molecule: ribosomal RNA, 253 nt
Filed under: uncultured bacterium
Lineage: Bacteria
Description: partial 16S ribosomal RNA
Rfam family: Bacterial small subunit ribosomal RNA
Source: RNAcentral